GAUGAACGCUGGCGGCGUGCCUAAUACAUGCAAGUCGAGCGAACAGACGAGGAGCUUACUCCUCUGACGUUAGCGGCGGACGGGUGAGUAACACGUGGAUAACCUACCUAUAAGACUGGGAUAACUUCGGGAAACCGGAGCUAAUACCGGAUAACAUGUUGAACCGCAUGGUUCAACAGUGAAAGACGGUCUUGCUGUCACUUAUAGAUGGAUCCGCGUCGCAUUAGCUAGUUGGUAAGGUAACGGCUUACCAAGGCAAUGAUGCGUAGCCGACCUGAGAGGGUGAUCGGCCACACUGGAACUGAGACACGGUCCAGACUCCUACGGGAGGCAGCAGUAGGGAAUCUUCCGCAAAGGGCGAAAGCCUGACGGAGCAACGCCGCGUGAGUGAAGAAGGUCUUCGGAUCGUAAAACUCUGUUAUUAGGGAAGAACAAAUGUGUAAGUAACUAUGCACGUCUUGACGGUACCUAAUCAGAAAGCCACGGCUAACUACGUG
This 497-nucleotide ribosomal RNA is filed under the name uncultured bacterium. Its description in RNAcentral is "partial 16S ribosomal RNA". It matches the Rfam family "Bacterial small subunit ribosomal RNA", at positions 28 to 507 of the family's 1533-position model. The record is from RNAcentral.